UGGGGAAUAUUGCACAAUGGGCGCAAGCCUGAUGCAGCCAUGCCGCGUGUGUGAGGAAGGCCUUCGGGUUGUAAAGCACUUUCAGCGAGGAGGAAGGUGGUGAGCUUAAUACGCUCAUCAAUUGACGUUACUCGCAGAAGAAGCACCGGCUAACUCCGUGCCAGCAGCCGCGGUAAUACGGAGGGUGCAAGCGUUAAUCGGAAUUACUGGGCGUAAAGCGCACGCAGGCGGUUUGUUAAGUCAGAUGUGAAAUCCCCGGGCUCAACCUGGGAACUGCAUUUGAAACUGGCAAGCUAGAGUCUCGUAGAGGGGGGUAGAAUUCCAGGUGUAGCGGUGAAAUGCGUAGAGAUCUGGAGGAAUACCGGUGGCGAAGGCGGCCCCCUGGACGAAGACUGACGCUCAGGUGCGAAAGCGUGGGGCAGCAAACAGGAUUAGAUACCCUGGUAGUCCACGCUGUAAACGAUGUCGAUUUGGAGGUUGUGCCCCUUGAGGCGUGGCUUCCGGAGCUAACGCGUUAAAUCGACCGCCUGGGGGAG
RNAcentral lists this ribosomal RNA (536 nucleotides) under uncultured bacterium. Its description in RNAcentral is "partial 16S ribosomal RNA". It matches the Rfam family "Bacterial small subunit ribosomal RNA", at positions 355 to 881 of the family's 1533-position model. The record is from RNAcentral.